This 794-nucleotide long non-coding RNA is filed under the name Ananas comosus (pineapple). Its description in RNAcentral is "long non-coding RNA (ACOM_LNC012466)". The record is from RNAcentral. Lineage: Eukaryota; Viridiplantae; Streptophyta; Magnoliopsida; Poales; Bromeliaceae.
UCGGAGUCAGGCUUAGUACUUUUGCGUUGAUAUCGGUUUGUCCUGUUUGGACUUGCUCUCCACUGACGACCUAGCGUGGUGGCAGUUAGUAUAGUUUCGACAGGCGGGACGAGUGUGUUCACAAGUCGCUAGUGAGAUUGGAUCAGGAUUGCAUUUUCUACAGAUAGUUAGUAUUGGAUCACGAUAGUAUAGUGGCAUAUAGCUGUAGAUUUGUUCCAGCUUUCCUUACUAUCCCUGUUUACUUUUGUAGACUUAGUGGGUGAGCCGUGAGCCGUUGAGGUCGGUAGCGGUACCCACUGAUGACUAUUUCUUUUACAGUAGUUCUCACACCCAGUUGUAAAUCCUUUUUGUAGAGCUCUCUUCUUCGGCUACUGCUGUCAUGGAGACUGAUCGUGGAAAGGGAGUCGCGAGUUAGAUUCCUUCCCAGUUGCUGCUGACCUAGAGAUUUAUACCAGCUACGUACAGGUAAUUAUAGUUUUUGGUUGUUAUACAUACUGAUGUUAGUAUCUCACCGGAACGAAUGUUUUUGUAUCAGGAUACUAUGUAUGUAUGUUGAACCGAUGUUUUAUAUCUGUAUGUUUUUUUAGCAGUUUUAUAUUAUUGGUUGUAGUAUUGUAUGAUUUCAGGUACAGGUAUAGCUAUCGUUUCGUAUAUAGAGAAAAUUUUUAUAUAUGCUGCUGAUCUGUUAGCAUGUUCGAAAAAAUAAGUAAUCCGAGACGUGACAGCCCGUUUGCUAUCGAUAGCAUUCCAGCUCAACUCUAAUUAAUACAUAAAAGACGAAAAGUAGGCAAGGU